Molecule: ribosomal RNA, 439 nt
Filed under: uncultured bacterium
Lineage: Bacteria
Description: partial 16S ribosomal RNA
Rfam family: Bacterial small subunit ribosomal RNA
Source: RNAcentral
CCUACGGGAGGCAGCAGUGGGGAAUAUUGCUCAAUGGGCGAAAGCCUGAUGCAGCAACGCCGCGUGCGCGAUGAAGGCCUUCGGGUCGUAAAGCUCUGUUCUCAAGGAAGAUAAUGACGGUACUUGAGGAGGGAGCCGCGGCUAACUACGUGCCAGAGGCCGCGGUAAUACGUAGGGGGCUAGCGUGAUCCAGAAGUACUGGGCGUAAAGGGUGCGUAGGUGGUUUCUUAAGUCAGAGGUGAAAGGCUACGGCUAAACCGUAGUAAGCCUUUGAAACUGGGAGACUUGAGUGCAGGCAGGGAGAGUGGAAUUCCUGGUGUAGCGGUGAAAUGCGUAGAUAUUAGGAGGAACACCAGUUGCGAAGGCGGGUGUCUGGAGUGUAACUGACGCUGAGGCACGAAAGCGUGGGGAGCAAACAGGAUUAGAUACCCUUGUAGUC